RNA transcript from Rosa chinensis, 975 nucleotides. It is a transcript of the gene named zinc finger SWIM domain-containing protein 7, with no coding region annotated. The transcript is spliced from 6 exons. Lineage: Eukaryota; Viridiplantae; Streptophyta; Magnoliopsida; Rosales; Rosaceae. The record is from RefSeq and is a predicted model, not a curated record.
UAACUUAACUGACAAAAUACCAAUUUUAUACCCACAGAAAUUACUAAAUACGACCUCGCUUCCCAAAAAUUGCGGGCUAGAGUUAACUCGUCCGUAUAAAGGUUCUGCAACAUUUGCUUAGCUCUUGAGUUAACCCAAACUCUAUCAUCAAACCCAGUUUGAAUUGAGAAUAAUCAGAAUAUGAGUGCAAGUAGCUUGGUUGCAGAGGCAGUCUGGAAGGCCAUUGAAUCAGCUGGUUCAGUGACCGAUGAACAGCUUUCCAUGUUGCAUUUCUUGUUUGGUAAGAACUUGGAGCGAGCGACUAGGAUAGUCGAUCAAAGAGGUGUCAAGAGGAUUUUCGGUGAGCCCAGUGGACGUUCUAUAUUUCAGGUUGUAGGAGAAUCCCGAAGGAAGGAGGAGUACUUUUGUUUUGCUGAACACUAUUGCGCUUGUUAUUCAUUCUUCUAUGACAUUGUAAACAGAGGAGAGCAGCUUUGUUGUAAGCAUCAGUUGGCUGCAAGACUUGCUGCAGCAUUGGGAGCAUGCAUUGAAGAUAAGGUAUCUGAUGAGCAGUUAGCUCUACUGCUUUCCAAGCUAUGACAUAUACGGCCAUAACCAAAAUUUGGUAAUAGGAGUUGAAGAGAUACUACAAGAGCAGCCGCAUUUGACAGCAACGGUGCAUUUCUUGAACUUCCUCAGUUCCUCUGUAUAAAAUUAUUUAUACUGAUACUUGAGUUGAAAACUGGUUUGGCUAUGAUUGAUAUAGUUCCUGAAGCACAUGGCGUCAGCCGUCAGGUGCACAUCUUAUCAGAUGAGAUCUUUGUUUUCUGUCCAAGUUUUGUGUCAUCAUACGACUCCAUUUGGAUUGUUCUGCUCUGGCAUUGAUUAAUGAAUUAUGCAUACCUGAAAAACAAAAACAAGGGUCCCUUUGGUUUCUUCCUAAGUUCCAAGAAUGCUCUUAAAAAAAUUUGAAAUUAUUGUUACACCAAACUUAUA